AAACCUCACGGAAGAAAGGGAGAGAAAAAAUACAGCUGUGAGUUGUGUGGAAAAUCUUUUACCCGGGCUGAACGCCUAAAAACACACCAAGUCAUCCACAGUGGAGUUAAACCUUACAGCUGUGAAUUGUGUGGAAAAUCUUUUACCCAGGACGGAAGCUUAAAAACACACCAAGUCAUCCACAGUGGAGUUAAAGCAUACAGCUGUAAUCACUGUGGUAAAGCCUUUGCUCGCAGUAGGUACUUACGAAUUCAUCAAGUUAUUCACUCUGGAAUCAAGCCAUACAGUUGUGACAUUUGUCGAAAAACUUUCACCCAGCCAGGGCACCGAAAUAUUCACCGGCGCAUUCACACCAAAAAUGAUGUUUACUGCUGUGAUCAGUGCGGAAAAGUCUUUGUGAAAUCCAAAGAUUUAGAGCGGCACAUGUUUACCCACACUGAGGAGAGACCUUACAAAUGUGACCUGUGUAAAAAGGCUUUUAAAGAGCCACGUUCCCUGAAAAAACACCAAAAGAUUCACACCAGGAAGAAACUCUACAAGUGCAGUUGCUGUGAGAAGCAGAGCGACAAAGAAUAUGGAUCCAGUUCUCAACCCUGUCGUCACUGUGGUGGUGGGAAAGACUUUCGCUGUGACCUUUGUGGAAAAAUGUUCAGUAAUCAAUGGAGCCUAAAAAUACAUCAACGUAGACACACUGGAGACAAAAUGAACUACUGCAAAGAAUGUGGGAGAGGCUUCCCCACACAGAGUCAAUUAAAAAACCAUGAACUCAUACACAGUGGGGUCAAAAAGCACGUCUGUGACCAGUGCGGGUCAUCCUUCACCACUGCAGGUGAGCUUAAAGUGCAUAAACGAGUCCACACAGGAGAGAAACCUUACAAGUGCAGACACUGUGACAGAAGCUUCUCGCAAUCAUCUGGUCGUAGCAAACAUGAACAAACACACUGGAAGAGAAUUUCAGCUGUGACCAGUGUGACAA
Long non-coding RNA from Oreochromis niloticus (Nile tilapia), 976 nucleotides. RefSeq lists it as uncharacterized. Lineage: Eukaryota; Metazoa; Chordata; Actinopteri; Cichliformes; Cichlidae. The transcript has 2 exons. The record is from RefSeq and is a predicted model, not a curated record.